Molecule: long non-coding RNA, 1088 nt
Filed under: Nicotiana tabacum (common tobacco)
Lineage: Eukaryota; Viridiplantae; Streptophyta; Magnoliopsida; Solanales; Solanaceae
Description: long non-coding RNA (NTAB_LNC001113)
Source: RNAcentral
GUCAAUUCUUCAACAAAAUCCCCAGCAACAAUGGUGAGAAAGAGACACAAACAGUUAUUCCCAACAAAGAACAAGAACCUAAUUUCAUGCCUGAGAAUGAAAAUGGAGCCUAUGGCCUAUAUGGUCAUGACUCUGUCACCACUCCUAACACCAACAACCCCACUGUCCACGAUCUUCCUAACAGCAAAUACCUUCCCAAGAAUUACAACCCUGUUUCUUAUGUGACUGUCCCUGAGGACAACACUAAUGAAAAUGAUUUGAACAACAAUGAGUUUACAACCAAGCACACUACCACCACCACUGCCUCUAAUAACAACCAAUUCUACAGUGGUCCCACCACUUACGGCAACAACAACAACCAACAGUACUAUAAUGGCGUCAGCGAUUAUAGUACUAAGCGCAACAACCAGCAGCAGCAGCAACAGUUCUACAGCGGCGACAACUUUUACAGUAACAACCAGCAGCAGCAGCAGUACUACAACGGUGGCAACUCUUACAACAAUAACAACGACAACAACAACAAUGAAGAGGAGGAGGAGUACUACAACAACAAUGGUGGUAACACUUACUACAACAACAACGAGCAACAGGAGUUGAGCGAAACAAGAUUAAGUGCCAGAACUUACAGCACCAACCCAACAAAUUACGGAAACAAUUACAACAACAACAAUCAAGAACAGAGCUACUCCACCAACUACAAUAACUACAACACUGGCAAAAGUAAUUACAGGGUGCACCAGCAGCAGGGGAUGAGUGACACAAGAUUCUUGGGAAAUGGGAAAUUCUACUACGAUAUCAACGCUGAGAAACAUGCUAGGGAUCCAUAUGAAAAUGCAAGAGAAUUUGCUGCAAUGAACCAACAGUACAACAGCAGGAACACCUAUGGAAACAAUGAAUACAACAGCAACAACAACAGUUUUGAGAAUGAAGAGGAAUUCCAAGUUGAAGACAACAUGCCUUGAGCUUUUGUUCAACACUUUGAUGAAAACAAAAAAAAAGUAAACAUAGUGAGCCAAAAGGAAUGUUAUGUGUCCCACAAUUAUCAUUGAUGUUGUUUUCCUUUUUUAUCUAAGUUAUAUUUUAUUAGC